AUGAAAUGCCCAAACUUCUUCCACUGAGAUUGUGGAAACCUGUUCUUGGAUCACCUGAUGCAACGAAGAUAAUUGCUAAAAGUAUCCCUCUGGGCGUUUGUUCAUGGAAAUACUGUCGAACAAUAUCUCUGUUCGAUACUGAUGAAUAUUCUUAAUUUGUUGUUAUAUUAUUUAAAAUUAUUAUAAAUGAUUUUAUUUCAUAAUUAUAUAUAUUGCAUUUCAAGAAAAAUGAGAGUUGAUAUAUCAAUAUGUUUAAACUAUAUGAUGUAAAAAUUUCUUACUAAACGAAAAGAAAAUGUAAAAUAAUCAUAAUAAAUAUAAUGGUAAU
This 328-nucleotide unclassified non-coding RNA is filed under the name Bombus terrestris (buff-tailed bumblebee). RNAcentral's name for it is "misc RNA ENSBTSG00005037647.1". Lineage: Eukaryota; Metazoa; Arthropoda; Insecta; Hymenoptera; Apidae. The record is from RNAcentral.